GACGAACGCUGUCGGCGUGCUUAACACAUGCAAGUCGAACGGAAAGGCCCUGCUUUUGUGGGGUGCUCGAGUGGCGAACGGGUGAGUAACACGUGAGUAACCUGCCCUUGACUUUGGGAUAACUUCAGGAAACUGGGGCUAAUACCGGAUAGGAGCUCCUGCUGCAUGGUGGGGGUUGGAAAGUUUCGGCGGUUGGGGAUGGACUCGCGGCUUAUCAGCUUGUUGGUGGGGUAGUGGCUUACCAAGGCUUUGACGGGUAGCCGGCCUGAGAGGGUGACCGGCCACAUUGGGACUGAGAUACGGCCCAGACUCCUACGGGAGGCAGCAGUGGGGAAUAUUGCACAAUGGGCGGAAGCCUGAUGCAGCAACGCCGCGUGCGGGAUGACGGCCUUCGGGUUGUAAACCGCUUUCGCCUGUGACGAAGCGUGAGUGACGGUAAUGGGUAAAGAAGCACCGGCUAACCACGUGCCAGCAGCCGCGGUGAUACGUAGGGUGCGAGCGUUGUCCGGAUUUAUUGGGCGUAAAGGGCUCGUAGGUGGUUGAUCGCGUCGGAAGUGUAAUCUUGGGGCUUAACCCUGAGCGUGCUUUCGAUACGGGUUGACUUGAGGAAGGUAGGGGAGAAUGGAAUUCCUGGUGGAGCGGUGGAAUGCGCAGAUAUCAGGAGGAACACCAGUGGCGAAGGCGGUUCUCUGGGCCUUUCCUGACGCUGAGGAGCGAAAGCGUGGGGAGCGAACAGGCUUAGAUACCCUGGUAGUCCACGCUGUAAACGGUGGGUACUAGGUGUGGGGUCCAUUCCACGGGUUCCGUGCCGUAGCUAACGCUUUAAGUACCCCGCCUGGGGAGUACGGCCGCAAGGCUAAAACUCAAAGGAAUUGACGGGGCCCCGCACAAGCGGCGGAGCAUGCGGAUUAAUUCGAUGCAACGCGUAGAACCUUACCUGGGUUUGACAUGGAUCGGGAGUGCUCAGAGAUGGGUGUGCCUCUUUUGGGGUCGGUUCACAGGUGGUGCAUGGCUGUCGUCAGCUCGUGUCGUGAGAUGUUGGGUUAAGUCCCGCAACGAGCGCAACCCUUGUUCACUGUUGCCAGCACGUUAUGGUGGGGACUCAGUGGAGACCGCCGGGGUCAACUCGGAGGAAGGUGGGGAUGACGUCAAGUCAUCAUGCCCCUUAUGUCCAGGGCUUCACGCAUGCUACAAUGGCUGGUACAGAGAGUGGCGAGCCUGUGAGGGUGAGCGAAUCUCGGAAAGCCGGUCUCAGUUCGGAUUGGGGUCUGCAACUCGACCUCAUGAAGUCGGAGUCGCUAGUAAUCGCAGAUCAGCAACGCUGCGGUGAAUACGUUCCCGGG
RNAcentral lists this ribosomal RNA (1343 nucleotides) under uncultured bacterium. RNAcentral's name for it is "16S ribosomal RNA". It matches the Rfam family "Bacterial small subunit ribosomal RNA", at positions 28 to 1378 of the family's 1533-position model. The record is from RNAcentral.